RNAcentral lists this ribosomal RNA (253 nucleotides) under uncultured Rhodobacterales bacterium. RNAcentral's name for it is "partial 16S ribosomal RNA". It matches the Rfam family "Bacterial small subunit ribosomal RNA", at positions 524 to 776 of the family's 1533-position model. Lineage: Bacteria; Pseudomonadati; Pseudomonadota; Alphaproteobacteria; Rhodobacterales. The record is from RNAcentral.
UACGAAAGGGGCUAGCGUUGUUCGGAAUUACUGGGCGUAAAGCGCACGUAGGCGGCCAUGUAAGUUGGGGGUGAAAUCCCAGGGCUCAACCCUGGAACUGCCUUCAAAACUACAUAGCUAGAGGAUGUGAGAGGAUAGUGGAAUUCCGAGUGUAGAGGUGAAAUUCGUAGAUAUUCGGAAGAACACCAGUGGCGAAGGCGACUGUCUGGCACAUUUCUGACGCUGAGGUGCGAAAGCGUGGGGAGCAAACAGG